UACGGAAGGCAGCAGUGGGGAAUAUUGGCACAAUGGGCGAAAGCCUGAUGCAGCUAUGCCGCGUGUAUGAAGAAGGCCUUAGGGUUGUAAAGUACUUUCAUCGGGGAGGAAAAAACAAAACUAAUAAUUUUAUUUCUUGACGUUACCCGAAAAAGAAGCACCGGCUAACUCCGUGCCAGCAGCCGCGGUAAUACGGAGGGUGCUAGCGUUAAUCAGAAUUACUGGGCGUAAAGAGCACGUAGGUGGUUUUUUUAAGUCAGAUGUGAAAUCCCUGGGCUUAACCUAGGAACUGCAUUUUGAAACUGAAAUACUAGAGUAUCGUAGAGGGAGGUAGAAUUCUAGGUGUAGCGGUGAAAUGCGUAGAUAUCUGGAGGAAUACCUGUGGCGAAAGCGGCCUCCUAAACGAAUACUGACACUGAGGUGCGAAAGCGUGGGGAGCAAACAGGGAUUAGAUACC
RNAcentral lists this ribosomal RNA (457 nucleotides) under uncultured bacterium. RNAcentral describes it as "bacterial SSU rRNA". It matches the Rfam family "Bacterial small subunit ribosomal RNA", at positions 340 to 786 of the family's 1533-position model. The record is from RNAcentral.